RNAcentral lists this ribosomal RNA (707 nucleotides) under uncultured Actinomycetes bacterium. RNAcentral describes it as "bacterial SSU rRNA". It matches the Rfam family "Bacterial small subunit ribosomal RNA", at positions 108 to 831 of the family's 1533-position model. Lineage: Bacteria; Bacillati; Actinomycetota; Actinomycetes. The record is from RNAcentral.
GAGUAACACGUGAGUAACCUGCCCCACAGACCGGGAUAGCCCAGGGAAACCUGGAUUAAUACCGGAUAUUCUCUUCGAACUUCAUGGUUCAUUGAGGAAAUGCCUUUGUGCUGUGGGAUGGACUCGCGGCUUAUCAGCUAGUUGGUGGGGUAACGGCCUACCAAGGCAUCGACGAGUAGCUGGUCUGAGAGGACGAUCAGCCACACUGGGACUGAGACACGGCCCAGACUCCUACGGGAGGCAGCAGCAGGGAAUCUUGCACAAUGGGCGAAAGCCUGAUGCAGCAACGCCGCGUGUGGGAUGAAUGCCUUCGGGUUGUAAACCACUUUCAGGAGGGAAGAAAUUGACGGUACCUCCAAAAGAAGCCCCGGCCAACUACGUGCCAGCAGCCGCGGUAAUACGUAGGGGGCAAGCGUUAUCCGGAAUCAUUGGGCGUAAAGAGCUCGUAGGCGGUUCAGCAAGUCGGCUGUGAAAGUCCAAGGCUUAACCUUGGAAAUGCAGUCGAUACUGCUGUGACUAGAGUCUGGUAGAGGAGAAUGGAAUUCCCGGUGUAGCGGUGGAAUGCGCAGAUAUCGGGAGGAACACCAGUAGCGAAGGCGGUUCUCUGGGCCUCGACUGACGCUGAGGAGCGAAAGCAUGGGUAGCAAACAGGAUUAGAUACCCUGGUAGUCCAUGCCGUAAACGUUGGAUACUAGGUGUGGCGUCCC